UUGUUGAGGACUGCUGCCAGUUUAGUCUAUGGAUGAAUCUCCGUCGAAUCUUCAGAUCUGAAUUGGCUGACUCAAAUUGGGACAGUGAUUCAACUCACUGAAUUGAAUUACACUCCCUCCAAAUUGGCCAAAUCCGAAUCCAAAUUGAAUGCUUGCUGCUUUGCGUAGGCCUACUGCAGCAGUGUUUGCUUUCCUUUGUAGCAGAGAAUGUGGCCAUUUUCUUUGGAUCUCUUGAGCAUAUUUUAACACCAGCCACUGCAGGAUAUUGGCCACCUUGUCCUUCUGAUUUACCUGUGUCAGAUUAGGGUGCUAUGCUUUGUGACUGUGUAAUCAGGGUUGACUACACAGUUUUACUAGCAGGUCAGAUGAGGAUUUUUAUAGGAUGGUUUGGAUCGGGAUGAUCCUGCCUCUGGUGAGGUUUUGAAUAAAAUAGCAUAAGAGGUCCUUUCCAGCCCUAAUUUCCUCUUAUUUUGUGAAAAUUAGCUAUUAUAUUGAUGUACAAAAAGUAUUGAAACAAUAUAACAUAAAUUCUAUAUAGCCAAUGAGGAACUAUAAUAAUAACAACUAUAUAUUCAUAAUAUGAAUAUAAAUAGCACAGAGUCUCUCCAAAGAAUCAUCAGAAACACUUCACUCAUAGUUCUGUCUAGUUUAAAGUACAGUUAGUAAGUGCUUCUUCCAACAGAUAUAAAAUAAGCCAAAAUGUUAUAUAAAGUGAAGCUAUGGACACUAGGCAUUUCUGCAACUUCUCAAGUCCUAUAUAACUAUGUACUUGGUUGUUCCAAAUUAGGACUGAAAUUCUCACAUCAUGGAAAAUAAAAUUGCUUUGUAUUUUUAUGACCUACAGCCAUUUCAUUGAGGCUGUAACUUUUUAAUUUUUUGUUUUUCUAGGAUUUAUCCCUCUAUUUAUAGUGACCUAAGUUUCUGUGAGAUGAAAAGUUCCAUAUGAAAAUAAAUGAGACCCACUUGCAUGAAUUUCAUUUAAAAUAACCAUUUUAAUUUAUCCAACAUUUUAAUCAAAAUUUUCUAUAGUAAUUUAUUUCAUCUUUCCUGUGAGAUUAUUUCCCAUUAGAAAAGAGCAGGGGGGGGGAGGAGCUCAGUAUUAUGGAGUGGGUUUCAGUAAUACGGGUAAAAGGGGUUUGUGAAUAUAUCAAAUCUGCACUAGUAGUUUUAAACACAUUUUUACUAUCCUGCAAUAAAGUGUUCAUAAAUUUCUUAAUUAUCAAUAAAAUGUAGUCAAAAGUGCAUUACACAGAGAAACAGAGGUGUUGUGUUGUAUUGAAUAUUAUUUCUUUUCUUUUAUAAUUGUACUUACAAAUGUACUUGUUUAAAUGCAAUACUGUAGAAAGAGGGCAGUUGUGACCAGAAAGUUAACUCAUAUCGUUCAAGGUUUCCUAAUUCCUUUGGGAAAUGCGAUGUUGCCAGAGCCUAGCACAAAGGUAGGCAUUAAGUGUUCACCCCUGUCCUGACCAUGGCUAUUCACACAACUUUAGGUCUGAGUAGCUGCAUUUGAGUAGGUAACCUCAAGCCCCUCACUACUGCCAAAAGGCUGGUCCUCCUAGUAUACACAUGGCUGAGUAUGUAAAGGUCUGGAUGACAUUACCAGCACCAUUCACAAAGGACUUCUCCAUUGAGAAGGGAAGUUAUUGGAGUGAGAUUUCCAGAAGAACAGUGCCGGGCUUACUGCCUGAUAGUUCUUCCAAGAAACUUGAUACAUCCUCAGUAGUUCCCUCACUGCUCUCUCUAUCACUAGGGAUGAGUGCAAACUGCCUCUACUUGGCUGGGAACAUGAAAUGCACUCCUGGAGCCACCGACUUUCUGCUGCUAGGAUGAAGAGUAGCAUUUUAAUCUUUAGAGCCCUCUCUUAACCUGGUUGGGAAUGCAGAUACGGCCAUGCCAUAUACUCAAGGCAAGGUUGACUUAAGUUCUUUUGUGUUGGCACCAUCAGUUGAUUCUGAAGCUUCUGUAAAUUGACAAUUCUUUUUCCUUUAAUUUUGGUAGGUGGAUAUAUUCUGCCCACAGGUUCUGUAGACCAACUUGGAUUUGAAUCAUUAAGUGGACUUCGGGGUUGCAUUGGUGCUUGCAGGGUUGUGCUGAGAAGCCAUGAGAAAGGAAGUGGCAUAGUAUGACAUCCUGGGAGGCAUCAAAGCAAACUGCAGCCCUGUUUAUAUCCCUGGGUUCAAAAAUGGCUGCUCUCAUCAAGGACCUGGUUGCUGCCUGUUUGGUGCCCUGCCACAAUGACCAUAAAAGAUCUUGGGAAUUAUUCUGUUUUAAAACUACUAGCAUAGCAGAAUAG
Molecule: long non-coding RNA, 2293 nt
Organism: Alligator mississippiensis (American alligator)
Lineage: Eukaryota; Metazoa; Chordata; Crocodylia; Alligatoridae
Exons: 3
Source: RefSeq, a predicted model, not a curated record